Molecule: long non-coding RNA, 714 nt
Filed under: Rattus norvegicus (Norway rat)
Lineage: Eukaryota; Metazoa; Chordata; Mammalia; Rodentia; Muridae
Description: long non-coding RNA NONRATT009655
Source: RNAcentral
GGUCAGUAAGUGGAAAAGCUCCAGGGGACUUCUAUGAUAGACGGACAGCUAAGCCUGAAUUUUUGAGAACUGGUCCUCAGAAGACUGAAGAUGCCUACUCCAUCAGCUCUGCAGGGAAACCUACACCAAGCACUCAAGGGAAGAUAAAACUAGUAAAAGAAACCUCUGUGUUGAGACAAUCAAAAGAUAGCAAUCCUUAUGCCACUUUACCUCGUGCAAGCAGUGUGAUCUCUACUGCUGAAGGAACAACUCGAAGGACAAGCAUCCAUGAUUUUCUGAGCAAGGACAGUAGACUGCCCGUUUCAGUUGAGCCAGCACCGCCUCCUGCUGGUGGCAGCAGCACCGCAGCCUCUAAUGUGAACAAAGUACAAGAAAGCAGAAAUUCAAAAAGCAGGUCUAGGGAGCAACAAAGCUCCUAAUUCAGUGGCCCACUGCAUGACAUGUGGGCAGAGGGAGAGAAAAGUGUCCUUCAGUUUCUCAGUGUGAAGACUUUAUUUCUGAAGUAACAAGACACCUAGCAACUAUAGGAACUAUUAAAAACAGUAAGGAGAUUUUAACACAUCCCUUCGUGACUAGAGCAGGCAAGAGAUAUAAACUCCAUUCUUCCUUGAAUCAAGGAGCACUACUGGAUUCAACUGCCAAAAGUUUUAGAAGGUUUUAGGACACUGUACAGUGCACUAAGCUCUACUGAAUAAAGGACAUUCUCUCACUUAA